GGGAUUUUAGCUCAGCUAGGAGAGCAUCUGUCUUACAAGCAGAGGGUCAUAAGUUCGAGCCCUGUAGGUUCCA
This 73-nucleotide transfer RNA is filed under the name Lachnospiraceae bacterium. RNAcentral describes it as "tRNA-Val". It matches the Rfam family "tRNA". Rfam says of the family: Transfer RNA (tRNA) molecules are approximately 80 nucleotides in length. Their secondary structure includes four short double-helical elements and three loops (D, anti-codon, and T loops). Lineage: Bacteria; Bacillati; Bacillota; Clostridia; Lachnospirales; Lachnospiraceae. The record is from RNAcentral.